UCUCCGUUGGUGAACCAGCGGAGGGAUCAUUACAGAGUUUUCACAACUCCCAACCCUUGCGAACCGUACCCAUUCUGUUAUCGUUGCUUCCGGCGGGGGGUCGGGGGGGCCCGAAACGGCCUCCCCGCCCCGCCCGCCGGGGGCGGCGGGACCUACGAACCCCGAUAUCUCAAACACCAGAAACCGGCUGAGAAAACAAACAAAAAAAUAAAAACUUGCAACAACGGACGUCUUGGCUCUGGCAACGAUGAAGAACGCAGUAGAUCGGAAGAGCACACG
This 279-nucleotide unclassified non-coding RNA is filed under the name plant metagenome. RNAcentral describes it as "partial contains small subunit ribosomal RNA, internal transcribed spacer 1, and 5.8S ribosomal RNA". The record is from RNAcentral.